This 253-nucleotide ribosomal RNA is filed under the name uncultured bacterium. RNAcentral's name for it is "partial 16S ribosomal RNA". It matches the Rfam family "Bacterial small subunit ribosomal RNA", at positions 524 to 776 of the family's 1533-position model. The record is from RNAcentral.
UACGUAGGGCGCAAGCGUUGUCCGGAAUUAUUGGGCGUAAAGCGUGCGCAGGCGGCUUUGCAAGACAGAUGUGAAAUCCCCGGGCUUAACCUGGGAACUGCAUUUGUGACUGCAUGGCUGGAGUGCGGCAGAGGGGGAUGGAAUUCCGCGUGUAGCAGUGAAAUGCGUAGAUAUGCGGAGGAACACCGAUGGCGAAGGCAAUCCCCUGGGCCUGCACUGACGCUCAUGCACGAAAGCGUGGGGAGCAAACAGG